Molecule: ribosomal RNA, 512 nt
Filed under: Escherichia coli
Lineage: Bacteria; Pseudomonadati; Pseudomonadota; Gammaproteobacteria; Enterobacterales; Enterobacteriaceae
Description: bacterial SSU rRNA
Rfam family: Bacterial small subunit ribosomal RNA
Source: RNAcentral
AAAUUGAAGAGUUUGAUCAUGGCUCAGAUUGAACGCUGGCGGCAGGCCUAACACAUGCAAGUCGAACGGUAACAGGAAACAGCUUGCUGUUUCGCUGACGAGUGGCGGACGGGUGAGUAAUGUCUGGGAAACUGCCUGAUGGAGGGGGAUAACUACUGGAAACGGUAGCUAAUACCGCAUAACGUCGCAAGACCAAAGAGGGGGACCUUCGGGCCUCUUGCCAUCGGAUGUGCCCAGAUGGGAUUAGCUAGUAGGUGGGGUAACGGCUCACCUAGGCGACGAUCCCUAGCUGGUCUGAGAGGAUGACCAGCCACACUGGAACUGAGACACGGUCCAGACUCCUACGGGAGGCAGCAGUGGGGAAUAUUGCACAAUGGGCGCAAGCCUGAUGCAGCCAUGCCGCGUGUAUGAAGAAGGCCUUCGGGUUGUAAAGUACUUUCAGCGGGGAGGAAGGGAGUAAAGUUAAUACCUUUGCUCAUUGACGUUACCCGCAGAAGAAGCACCGGCUAACU